RNAcentral lists this small nuclear RNA (106 nucleotides) under Moschus moschiferus (Siberian musk deer). The record is from RNAcentral. Lineage: Eukaryota; Metazoa; Chordata; Mammalia; Artiodactyla; Moschidae.
GUAUUACUUCAGCAGCACAAAUUCUAAAAUUGGAAGGAUACAGAAAAGAUUAGCGUGGCUUCUGCGCAAGGAUGACACACCUACUCAUUAAACGUUACUUUUUUAA